GUGCUCGCUUCGGCAGCACAUAUACUAAAAUUGGAACGAUACAGAGAAGAUUAGCAUGGUCCCUGAGCAAGGAUGACGAAAAAUCUGAAAAGGAAAUUAAGAAAACA
Molecule: small nuclear RNA, 107 nt
Filed under: Rhinolophus ferrumequinum (greater horseshoe bat)
Lineage: Eukaryota; Metazoa; Chordata; Mammalia; Chiroptera; Rhinolophidae
Source: RNAcentral